AUUGAACGCUGGCGGCAGGCCUAACACAUGUAAGUCGAACGGUAGCACAGAGAGCUUGCUCUCGGGUGACGAGUGGCGGACGGGUGAGUAAUGUCUGGGAAACUGCCCGAUGGAGGGGGAUAACUACUGGAAACGGUAGCUAAUACCGCAUAACGUCGCAAGACCAAAGUGGGGGACCUUCGGGCCUCACACCAUCGGAUGUGCCCAGAUGGGAUUAGCUAGUAGGUGGGGUAAUGGCUCACCUAGGCGACGAUCCCUAGCUGGUCUGAGAGGAGGACCAGCCACACUGGAACUGAGACACGGUCCAGACUCCUACGGGAGGCAGCAGUGGGGAAUAUUGCACAAUGGGCGCAAGCCUGAUGCAGCCAUGCCGCGUGUAUGAAGAAGGCCUUCGGGUUGUAAAGUACUUUCAGCGGGGAGGAAGGCGGUGAAGUUAAUAACUUCACCGAUUGACGUUACCCGCAGAAGAAGCACCGGCUAACUCCGUGCCAGCAGCCGCAGUAA
RNAcentral lists this ribosomal RNA (504 nucleotides) under uncultured bacterium. RNAcentral describes it as "partial 16S ribosomal RNA". It matches the Rfam family "Bacterial small subunit ribosomal RNA", at positions 30 to 523 of the family's 1533-position model. The record is from RNAcentral.